This 253-nucleotide ribosomal RNA is filed under the name uncultured bacterium. RNAcentral describes it as "partial 16S ribosomal RNA". It matches the Rfam family "Bacterial small subunit ribosomal RNA", at positions 524 to 776 of the family's 1533-position model. The record is from RNAcentral.
UACGGGGGGUGCAAGUGUUGUUCGGAUUGAUUGGGCGUAAAGCGCACGUAGGCGGUCUUUUAAGUCGGUGGUGAAAUCCUGGAGCUCAACUCCAGAACUGCCUUCGAUACUGGAAGACUUGAGUCCGGGAGAGGUGAGUGGAACUGCGAGUGUAGAGGUGAAAUUCGUAGAUAUUCGCAAGAACACCAGUGGCGAAGGCGGCUCACUGGCCCGGUACUGACGCUGAGGUGCGAAAGCGUGGGGAGCAAACAGG